GUCUCUUUGUGUGUUAUAAAUAAAGAGUCGGGCCUGCUCGGUGAAUAAUUGUUUUAACAGCUGCGGUAUUUUAACUGUACUAAGGUAGCAUAAUAAUUUGCCUUAUAAUUUGAGGCUAGAAUGAAUGGUUUGACGAAGGUUAAUCUGUCUCUAUUCUAUUUUUUAGAAAUUAAUUUUUAAAGUGAAAAAGCUUAUAUUUUUUAAAGGGACGAGAAGACCCUAUUGAGCUUAUAAUUUUAUUACUAUUAUUAUUGUAUGUGUGUAGUAGUAUAUAAAUUUUAAUUGGGGUGAUUAGGGAAUAAAAUAAUAAAUAUAGUAACUUCCUUAGAAUUAAUAUUGUUGGGUAAAGUAACCAAUAUUAUUGCUUAUAUUAUAGUUACCAUAGGGAUAACAGCGUAAUUUAUUUAGAGAGUUCUUAUUAAAAAAUGAGAUUGCGACCUCGAUGUUGGAUUAAAGUAACCUUAAGGUGCAGAAGCUUUAAUAGGUAAAUCUGUUCGAUUUUUAAAACUUUACA
This 514-nucleotide ribosomal RNA is filed under the name Mastigoteuthis agassizii. Its description in RNAcentral is "partial 16S ribosomal RNA". It matches the Rfam family "Bacterial large subunit ribosomal RNA", at positions 1816 to 2600 of the family's 2925-position model. The record is from RNAcentral. Lineage: Eukaryota; Metazoa; Mollusca; Cephalopoda; Oegopsida; Mastigoteuthidae. RNAcentral also lists the same sequence under 2 other names.